UCAUCAGGAGGAAAAAAAAAAAAAAAAAGGAAAAAGCUGUGGUUUGGAAGCAGCUGGAUGGCAAACUGCAGGCUGGGAUGUGGCUGCCAAAACCACCACAAGGAGACUGGGGCAUAGAGGCAUUUGUGGAGCAUUCUGUUUGCUGAUUGCUCGUGGAAUUUCAGUGUCUGGAUUUCUUUACUUCAACUUUUCCAUUCUUCAGACUUGAGCCAAGUUGGAAGAGAAGAGGGGGAUCUGCCAGGUGGCUGCAUCUUGGAACACAGGUAUUUCUCACAAAAUCCAGAUUGUUCUACCCUGGUUCUGAGUCUGCAUUUGGGU
RNAcentral lists this long non-coding RNA (318 nucleotides) under Ficedula albicollis (Collared flycatcher). Its description in RNAcentral is "lncRNA (ENSFALG00000021401.2)". Lineage: Eukaryota; Metazoa; Chordata; Aves; Passeriformes; Muscicapidae. The record is from RNAcentral.